This 111-nucleotide non-coding RNA is filed under the name Gracilibacillus kekensis. RNAcentral describes it as "TPP sequence". It matches the Rfam family "TPP riboswitch aptamer (THI element)". Rfam says of the family: Vitamin B(1) in its active form thiamin pyrophosphate (TPP) is an essential coenzyme that is synthesised by coupling of pyrimidine and thiazole moieties in bacteria. The previously detected thiamin-regulatory element, thi box was extended, resulting in a new, highly conserved RNA secondary structure, the THI element, which is widely distributed in eubacteria and also occurs in some archaea. Analysis of operon structures identified a large number of new candidate thiamin-regulated genes, mostly transporters, in various prokaryotic organisms. The record is from Rfam by way of RNAcentral. Lineage: Bacteria; Bacillati; Bacillota; Bacilli; Caryophanales; Bacillaceae.
AUAAACAUGUAGGGGGACCGGUGUUGCCGGUUGAGAGAGUAUCCGUGAAGAUGCUGACCCUUAGAACCUGAUCUGGUUAGAACCAGCGUAGGGAACAUAUAAGAUAACUGA